UACUCUUCAAUCCCUAAGUUUUUUCAUUACUUUAGGAGACUAAGGGAGUGACUGUUAUUUUUUAUCCAAAAAUACAUUUUCCUUGGAUCCUUCAGUAAUGCCAUUGUUAGGUCUUAUGCACAACAACUGGAUAUUUCCAUAUCCCUUUCGAGAGGGUACCUGUCUAAUUAAGAGCACUUCAAGACCUAGAACACAGAUAAUGUGCUUUACAGAGAGGCCAAUUAAAUGAUUGUUUUUGUUGUUGCAUUACAAACACAAUCAGAAAUAAAAUGAGGAUUUAAGCUCAUAUGCAAAAGGAAGUUCUGUUGUUUUUAACAUUCUUCUGAAGUAUGAUGCCCUCUGACCAAUAUAAGGUAACAUUUCACACAAAGCAGUAUAUUUAAGUAUUCAACUCAACAUAGUCACCCUUGGGAGAAAGAAAAGCCCUGUUAGUACCCAAUAAGUGAGAAAUAUUACAUUAUUGCAUAUGCUAUAUAUUAUUUAUGCAUACAUACCCAUAAUGCCUCAUUUUGAAAGUUGUAUUCUAUCCAAAGACAAAAGUAAGUUGGGUUGUGAUCUAAGAUACAUAAGAAAAAGAUGAGUAUGAAAUAAACAAGCCACUCUACAAAUAUUUGUCUAUAAUUCUUCAGGAUGUUAGUGAAAGACUGCAUUUCAGUAAAAUAUUCUGUGGUUUCAUCAGUUACUUAAGUAUUUGUUCAUCAUUAGCCCUCUAGCUAUUUUUAAUAAGGUCUUUUUUGUCAAAAAAUAUAAAUAAUGUGGGUCAUUGCCUCCAAAUAAAUAAUCACUAUGUAUUGUAGUAAGAACAAAUAUUAUGUUUGUAUAUUUGAAUGAUUGAUCUCUCUCUCUCUCUCUCUCUCUCUCUCUCUCUCUCUCUCUCUCUCUCUCUGGCUGUGCCUACAGCAUGUGAAAGUUCCCAGGCCAGGAAGCAAACCUGUGUCACAGCAGCAACCCAAGCCACAGCAGUGACCAUGCCAAAUCCUUAACCCGUGAAGCAGUGAUGGAAUUGUGAAUCACCUCUCUUCUCUAGAAAAAAUUUUAUGUCUUUGUUUUGUAUGUCUUUAUACAUUCUUUACCUCCUGCCUUCACUAAUUAAUGCAGAAAGUUCAGGCUUCACAGGGACUCUUGAGCCUCCUUAUAUUGUAAGUAACUUCUAAAUCCCACAAGGAUGGCUCCUUCCACACUCACAUAUCUUUCUACUGGUGCAUCUUCUACUGGUGUAAGAAUAAGUGCCUACUCAAAGGCUUUUAACAGCAGCCUUUGGUCCAUGCUUUGUCUUAGUCAAAGUAGAAAAAGGAAUAGAUGUGCAGGCAGAUUCAGAGAGCUCUCUGUUCCCCCACUCUGCUCUGUUGCCUCUCCCCUCUAUUUCUAUACAUCUAUGUCUCUCUCUUCUUUUAGGGGACUGCAGAUCUGUUAACAAUGAGUGGAAGGAUUAAAGACAUUGAUUUUUGGCUCUCUACAUGUACCUGAUUCACAAACUUUUCAUGUUUACAAAGAAAAGGCAGAUUCUCAUAACCAAACACAGCAGAAAUUAUAUCGCUCCAAUACAACCCUGUUGUUGAAUUAGUCAACCCUUAUGGUCUUUCUAGAAGGGUAGCUCCUCAUAUACAUUUUCUAGUGGCAAAGAAACUCACCUGUUGAUUUGGCAGAUGAAAAGGAUGACAGCUAUUGUAAAUAAUACAGAAAGCCUAUAUGCUGGAUCAACAUACACAGUAAUCAAAACUCCUCGUUUGAGCAACAUGCCAGAACUCAUCAUCCAAAUUAUUAUAUUUGUUUUUAUCUCUUUCUAAGUAGGCAGCUUGGAAUGUAUCUUUACUGUUCUCAUGGGCAAUGUUGCCUUUGCUCAGAAUGUGUUAGGAACUUCCCUUUCAGAACUGGCUUCAUGGCCUGGUACACAUGGUUUGAACAGCCUCUGGGGUAGCAAAUCAUUUCAUGGAAGCACUGUUCUUAUUCCAUUUCAUUUUUUAAGAUGUAAACAUUGUUUGGAGCCAGUUGAAAUAGGUGUUCAAGGUGGGUGAUAUAUUUAGGUUUGCUCAAAUACCAGGUAGAGAGACCGUGAGAUAAUGGGAGUAUUUGCCUAGUGUACCUCAUAAACUGAUUCUGAAGCUAUAACGAAUAUAAAAAUUAUUAUGGAAACAGCAGCAUCAUAGCAACCAAAACAAAUACUCUCAGUGCAACCUCUUCAAAAGGCAACACUCCUCCUCUUCAACAGUUUAAGUACUGUUGUAUCUUUUGUGAGAGACAACUUUUUUAUGAUUCAUAUAUUCAUUCUCUUUUAAAAAUAUUUAAAGAGGUUUUCUGAGGAUAUUUUUUCUGUUCAAGUUGUAUGGAAUUUUUAAGAUCUGUUUUCAAGGAGUUCCCACUGUGACGUUAAGGAUCCAACGUUGCUACAGCUGUGGCGUAGGUCUUGGCUGCGGCUCAGAUUUGAUCCCUAGGUCCCUGGCUUGGGAACUUCCAUAUGCUGCGGGGGCAGAUGAAAAAAGAAGAAGGAAAAGAAAAGAUCUGCCUUCAAAAUAUGUUUGGGCACUAUUCAAGGAAGGUAAAUGUUUUCUGGGAGGACAGCUAGGAUGUGAUCAUUGAAGUUUUAUUUACUGCAGAGUAGGUUGCCUUGGCUGCAUAGAACAUGCAAAUAUUUGUACAAUGUUCCCUUUCCUGAGGCAGAGAGGUGGAGUGAAAUUAACAGGAGAUGCUACAAACUUGGAAUGAAAGGGUGUCAACUCUAGCUCUGGCUAAUCUUUUGAUUAAGUGACUUAAAUAUCAGUUUGUUUUUCCAUCAAUGAUGCUUAUCAGCCUCUGAGGAUUUGGGGAAUUAAGUGAAGUGACUUUUGAAAGCCCUACAGAAUCAAGUUGGAGCAGAAGACAGAUCCCUAGAGCUCUGAAUGGGGAAAUCCAAAAAUACUAUUGUGAACCAGUAAUUAGAGUUUAGCUCCCUUUUAGCCUCUGACCCACUCUCUUCACUUUCAGCCUUUGGGAAAAUGCUGAAAUGCUGGAUAAGCACAAGGAUCACUGAAGCACAGGACUCAAACGCUCACAACCGAAAACCUGAAACAUCAAGAGUUUCUGGAAUUGUUAUUAUAAUCAGCAAUCACAGUAAACAUUGCCACAAGAGACACCAGCUAGUACUGGAAGACAGACAGUAUAAAUGUGACACCGUAUAUAGCUUAUCUACAUAUGUUUAUUUUUUAACUAUAUAUUUUUUUUAAAAAUCUGGAAGUAUACAGAUUGAUCUAUAUUUUAGAUAGGUAGAUGGAUGGAUAGAUAGAUACAUAUCAUGAGGAAAAGAGGCUGUGAUGUGGAAUUAUUUUUCCUUUUUUUUUUUUUGCUUAUUUGUAUUUUCUAAUUUUUCUAAGAGGAACACACAGGAAUACGAAUAACUUCAAUUCUCAUAAAAAAUAAAAUACUCAGUGUAAGAGGCAUUCCUGUGCAGAAGUGACACCAGAGCAUAGGUCUGUUACCUCUAUCUACUCGCCCCAUAAUGGGCUGCACAAAACUGCCAGGCUCGUGUGUCCUGGGGAUUAUGCUCUGGAUCAUCUUGCUUAUUUAGCAAAAUUUUCAAAUCAGUCAAUUGUCCAUAUAAAAGUUGAUUAAAGGGCUCAUUCAUUAUACUGAAUUUAAGGUUGCUUAUUCCUGUGCAACUGGAAUAACAAUGCAAAUAAAAUACAGAGCCUGCAUUGCUCUCAUCAUUCACAUCUAUCCAAGCUAAUUAAAAAUAGAUUUUUUUUCUCCAAUUGUUUUGUACUCAGAAAAAUUAAGGUUCUUGUUUGUUCUCUUUGUACCACCAAGAAAUAGCAUGUACCUGAAGAUUGCCAACCUUAAAAUAUGGUGCAUUUAAGUCUUAGAAACUGGAACUACAUUUAGUUUCUCAUUUUUUCCAUCUUUAUUUCAUUGUUCAAUGCCAAAAUGUUCUUUGGAGAGUACACAGAAUAAAAGACCACAUCCAUUUCCAACAACUUACAGAAGAGUGUGAAUCUCAAUGAGCUUUGCAAAGGGCACAGUGGAAGAGAAAUACUUUUGAGUGAAUUACUAUGAAAAAAAAAUGCAGUAUGUGAGAACUUCUGUUUGACAGUUUUUGACUGAAAAAUUAUAAGGUAUCCAUGUUAUUUCUCAAAGUAGUCAUUUUCUUCAAAUUAGACACUGGUUCAAAUACUCUUUUUAAAUGGCAUUGCUUGGAGGUAAGCUUUUUCUGGGGGGAAAAAAGCCCCACUAAAGUAUAGUCUGGCAUUAUCACUGGCCUAAUGGUCCAUUAGCUUUACACACCAUAAUUUAAUAAAAAGGAUUUUAGAAAACUUUCAAAGCAAUGUGAGUGAGGAGGUGGGAGGGUGGGUGGGAGAUGAGAAGGAUAAAUGAGGCAUGCUGCCGUGGUAUUAUUUUAGCAGAUUUUCCAAAAGAAAUUAUUUGAGCUCAUUCUUAGCUUUCAAGGCAUCAUUUGGAAAAUAUAUGCUGCCUUUGAAUGAAAUGCAGAAUUUUAGAUUAAUAUAUGUCCUUCUGUUGGAGUGAAAUAAAAAAAUCUUGGUUUCUAUAAAUAUUACCUAUCUAUGAAACUGGCAUUUUUCAGGCCACUAAAUCUAAGAGGUCUUACCCAAGGUCACUGUGGAGGCAGGAUUUUAGCCCCAUGACCUUUCAUCCCUGAAUAUCGACUAUGUUAGUUGUGUCAUUACAUACAGCAUAUGUAAUUAAGGUGCCUAAUCAGUUGACCAAACUAGGGAAAUUAUCCUGGAGUAUUCAAUGAGCCUAAGCUAAUCAUGAGAUCUUGAAGGCAGAAUUCUGGAGUUCCUGUCAUCGCACAGCAGAAACGAAUGUGACUAGUAUCCAUGAGGUUGCGGGCUCGAUCCCUGGUCUCACUCAGUGGGUUAAGGAUCUGGCAUUGCCGUAAACUGUGAUGCAGGUCAAAGAUGCAGCCCAAAUCUAGAGUGGCUGUGGCGUAGGCCAGCAGCUGUAGCUCCAAUACAACCCCUAACCUGGGAACAUCCAUAUG
This 4972-nucleotide long non-coding RNA is filed under the name Sus scrofa (pig). RNAcentral's name for it is "lncRNA (ENSSSCG00000061134.1)". Lineage: Eukaryota; Metazoa; Chordata; Mammalia; Artiodactyla; Suidae. The record is from RNAcentral.